GACGAACGCUGGCGGCGUGCCUAAUACAUGCAAGUCGAACGCUGAAGAGAGGAGCUUGCUCUUCUUGGAUGAGUUGCGAACGGGUGAGUAACGCGUAGGUAACCUGCCUGGUAGCGGGGGAUAACUAUUGGAAACGAUAGCUAAUACCGCAUAAAAUUGAUUAUUGCAUGAUAAUUAAUUGAAAGAUGCAACUGCAUCACUACCAGAUGGACCUGCGUUGUAUUAGCUAGUUGGUGAGGUAACGGCUCACCAAGGCGACGAUACAUAGCCGACCUGAGAGGGGGGUCGGCCACACUGGGACUGAGACACGGCCCAGACUCCUACGGGAGGCAGCAGUAGGGAAUCUUCGGCAAUGGGGGGAAACCUGACCGAGCAACGCCGCGGGAGUGAAGAAGGGUUUCGGAUCGUAAAGCUCUGUUGUAAGGGAAGAACGGGUGUGAGAGUGGAAAGUUCACACUGUGACGGUAGCUUACCAGAAAGGGACGGCUAACUACGUG
This 497-nucleotide ribosomal RNA is filed under the name uncultured bacterium. Its description in RNAcentral is "partial 16S ribosomal RNA". It matches the Rfam family "Bacterial small subunit ribosomal RNA", at positions 28 to 507 of the family's 1533-position model. The record is from RNAcentral.